AGAGUUUGAUCAUGGCUCAGGAUGAACGCUGGCGGCGUGCCUAACACAUGCAAGUCGAGCGAUUUACUUCGGUAAAGAGCGGCGGACGGGUGAGUAACGCGUGGGUAACCUGCCCUAUACACACGGAUAACAUACCGAAAGGUAUGCUAAUACGAGAUAAUAUAAGAGAUUCACAUGGAUUUCUUAUCAAAGCUGAGGCGGUAUAGGAUGGACCCGCGUCUGAUUAGCUAGUUGGUAAGGUAACGGCUUACCAAGGCGACGAUCAGUAGCCGACCUGAGAGGGUGAUCGGCCACAUUGGAACUGAGACACGGUCCAAACUCCUACGGGAGGCAGCAGUGGGGAAUAUUGCACAAUGGGCGAAAGCCUGAUGCAGCAACGCCGCGUGAGUGAUGAAGGCCUUCGGGUCGUAAAACUCUGUCCUCAAGGAAGAUAAUGACGGUACUUGAGGAGGAAGCCCCGGCUAACUACGUGCCAGCAGCCGCGGUAAUACGUAGGGGGCUAGCGUUAUCCGGAUUUACUGGGCGUAAAGGGUGCGUAGGUGGUCUCUUAAGUCAGGAGUGAAAGGCUACGGCUUAACUGUAGUAAGCUCUUGAAACUGGGAGACUUGAGUGCAGGAGAGGAAAGUGGAAUUCCUAGUGUAGCGGUGAAAUGCGUAGAUAUUAGGAGGAACACCAGUAGCGAAGGCGGCUUUCUGGACUGUAACUGACACUGAGGCACGAAAGCGUGGGGAGCAAACAGGAUUAGAUACCCUGGUAGUCCACGCUGUAAACGAUGAGUACUAGGUGUCGGGGGUUACCCCCCCUCGGUGCCGCAGCUAACGCAUUAAGUACUCCGCCUGGGGAGUACGCUCGCAAGAGUGAAACUCAAAGGAAUUGACGG
This 880-nucleotide ribosomal RNA is filed under the name uncultured bacterium. RNAcentral's name for it is "bacterial SSU rRNA". It matches the Rfam family "Bacterial small subunit ribosomal RNA", at positions 8 to 916 of the family's 1533-position model. The record is from RNAcentral.